UGGGGAGUCGUCUAACGGUAGGACAGCUGACUCUGGAUCAGCCAGUUGGGGUUCGAAUCCCUGCUCCCCAGCCA
Molecule: transfer RNA, 74 nt
Filed under: Sphaerobacter thermophilus
Lineage: Bacteria; Pseudomonadati; Thermomicrobiota; Thermomicrobia; Sphaerobacterales; Sphaerobacteraceae
Also listed under: 4 other names
Description: tRNA-Gln
Rfam family: tRNA
About the family: Transfer RNA (tRNA) molecules are approximately 80 nucleotides in length.
Source: RNAcentral